RNAcentral lists this long non-coding RNA (567 nucleotides) under Setaria italica (foxtail millet). RNAcentral describes it as "long non-coding RNA (SITA_LNC003216)". Lineage: Eukaryota; Viridiplantae; Streptophyta; Magnoliopsida; Poales; Poaceae. The record is from RNAcentral.
GCAUGGCCAGUUCAUGGUUAUCAGUUUAUAGCAGUGAGCAACUUGCUUUGCACCAGAUUCGAUGCUGAUGUCUUAUCAAACCAUAUUAUCUUGUCCUGGGUAUUGUAGCAUAGGUACCUUAUUUAGUUUGACUAGUAACUAGGUAGACUCUAGAGUAGCAUAGGUACCGUAUUCCUUCUGACUAGUAAAUUAUCCUGGGCAAUGUUUAAUUUUGGGAAUAAGGACACACUUGCUCGAGUGGUUUGUUAACAAAAUUACUUACCCAUAUUUACUUGAGUUGCUGACCUUUGCAGCUUCUAGAUGUAAAAAUAUAUAUGCUUUCUUUGACUUACCUGGUCUUUAACAUGGUCAGAUAUAACUUGCAAGCUUUACCUGAUCAUUUUUCUAGACCAAAUUCAGCAGGGACUCCAUUAGUAUUGAUCUAAUUGCAGAUGUCUUAGGGAUUACACCAACCAGAGGCUUCUUGAGGAACUUGACUUGCUUUGUAUCUAUGUCUACCAUCGUCAGAGUGUAUAAUAUUUUAGCUGGCUUCUAAAUUUGUAAUGCACAUAAAACUGUCCUUUUAUG